RNAcentral lists this ribosomal RNA (404 nucleotides) under Fusobacteriota bacterium. RNAcentral's name for it is "Fusobacteria bacterium partial 16S ribosomal RNA". It matches the Rfam family "Bacterial small subunit ribosomal RNA", at positions 355 to 776 of the family's 1533-position model. The record is from RNAcentral. Lineage: Bacteria; Fusobacteriati; Fusobacteriota.
UGGGGAAUAUUGCACAAUGGAGGGAACUCUGAUGCAGCGACGCCGCGUGAGUGAUGAAGGACUUCGUUUCGUAAAACUCUGUUCUAUGGGAAGAAAAGGACUGUACCAUAGGAGAAAGCUCCGGCUAAAUACGUGCCAGCAGCCGCGGUAAUACGUAUGGAGCGAGCGUUGUCCGGAAUUAUUGGGCGUAAAGGGUGCGCAGGCGGCUUUACAAGUUGGAUGUGAAAUAUUGUGGCUCAACCACAAACGUGCAUCCAAAACUGCAAAGCUUGAGUUAAGGAGAGGUAAGUGGAAUUCCUGGUGUAGCGGUGGAAUGCGUAGAUAUCAGGAGAAAUACCGGUGGCGAAGGCGACUUACUGGACUUAAACUGACACUCAGGCACGAAAGCGUGGGGAGCAAACAGG